AUACGGAGGGUGCAAGCGUUAUCCGGAAUCAUUGGGUUUAAAGGGUCCGCAGGCGGAUUAAUAAGUCAGUGGUGAAAUCCUCUCGCUCAACGAGAGAACUGCCAUUGAAACUGUUAGUCUUGAAUUCGGUCGAAGUAGGCGGAAUGUGUCAUGUAGCGGUGAUAUGCAUAGAUAUGACACAGAACACCGAUAGCGAAGGCAGCUUACUAGACCUGGAUUGACGCUCAUGGACGAAAGCGUGGGGAGCGAACAGGAUUAGAAACCCGGGUAGUCC
This 274-nucleotide ribosomal RNA is filed under the name uncultured bacterium. RNAcentral's name for it is "partial 16S ribosomal RNA". It matches the Rfam family "Bacterial small subunit ribosomal RNA", at positions 523 to 796 of the family's 1533-position model. The record is from RNAcentral.